CUAUCUGCCGUGGGCGCUGGAGAACUGAGGGGGGCUGCUCCUAGUACGAGAGGACCGGAGGGGACGCAUCACUGGUGUUCGGGUUGUCAUGCCAAUGGCACUGCCCGGUAGCUAAAUGCGGAAGAGAUAAGUGCUGAAAGCAUCUAAGCACGAAACUUGCCCCGAGAUGAGUUCUCCCUGACUCCUUGAGAGUCCUGAAGGAACGUUGAAGACGACGACGUUGAUAGGCCGGGUGUGUAAGCGCAGCGAUGCGUUGAGCUAACCGGUACUAAUGAACCGUGAGGCUUAACCUUACAACGCCGAAGGUGUUU
Molecule: ribosomal RNA, 311 nt
Filed under: Escherichia coli O111:NM str. K6890
Lineage: Bacteria; Pseudomonadati; Pseudomonadota; Gammaproteobacteria; Enterobacterales; Enterobacteriaceae
Description: partial 23S ribosomal RNA
Rfam family: Bacterial large subunit ribosomal RNA
Source: RNAcentral